This 329-nucleotide unclassified non-coding RNA is filed under the name soil metagenome. RNAcentral describes it as "partial contains 5.8S ribosomal RNA, internal transcribed spacer 2, and large subunit ribosomal RNA". The stretch from base 1 to 120 matches the Rfam family "5.8S ribosomal RNA", at positions 35 to 154 of the family's 154-position model. The record is from RNAcentral.
GAUGAAGAACGCAGCGAAAUGCGAUAAGUAGUGUGAAUUGCAGAAUUCAGUGAAUCAUCGAAUCUUUGAACGCACAUUGCGCCCCUUGGUAUCCCGAGGGGCAUGCCUGUUCGAGCGUCAUUUCACCACUCAAGCCUGGCUUGGUGUUGGGCGACGUCCCCUUUGGGGACGCGCCUCGAAACGCUCGGCGGCGUGGCACCGGCUUUAAGCGUAGCAGAAUCUUUCGCUUUGGAAGUCGGGGCCCCGUCUGCCGGAAGACCUACUCGCAAGGUUGACCUCGGAUCAGGCAGGGAUACCUGCUGAACUUAAGCAUAUCAAUAAGCGGAGGA